Molecule: ribosomal RNA, 120 nt
Filed under: Trichinella pseudospiralis
Lineage: Eukaryota; Metazoa; Nematoda; Enoplea; Trichinellida; Trichinellidae
Source: RNAcentral
GCCUGUGAUUAAUCAGAUUAUACAUUUCCGCAUCCCGCCCGAUCUGCGAAGUUAAGCAACGUUGGGCUGUCGUCAGUACCAGAAUCGGAGACGGUCUGGGAACACGCAGUGUCGUAGACA